GAUGAACGCUGGCGGCGUGCCUAACACAUGCAAGUCGAACGGAGUCGUUUUGGAAAUCUCUUCGGAGAUGGAAUUCUCGACUUAGUGGCGGACGGGUGAGUAACGCGUGAGCAAUCUGCCUUUAAGAGGGGGAUAACAGUCGGAAACGGCUGCUAAUACCGCAUAAAGCAUUAAAUUCGCAUGUUUUUGAUGCCAAAGGAGCAAUCCGCUUUUAGAUGAGCUCGCGUCUGAUUAGCUAGUUGGCGGGGUAACGGCCCACCAAGGCGACGAUCAGUAGCCGGACUGAGGGGGUGAACGGCCACAUGGGGACUGAGACACGGCCCAGACUCCUACGGGAGGCAGCAGUGGGGAAUAUUGCGCAAUGGGGGAAACCCUGACGCAGCAACGCCGCGUGAUGGAAGAAGGCCUUCGGGUUGUAAAGAUCUUUAAUCAGGGACGAAACAAAUGACGGUACCUGAAGAAUAAGCUCCGGCUAACUACGUG
RNAcentral lists this ribosomal RNA (483 nucleotides) under uncultured bacterium. RNAcentral's name for it is "partial 16S ribosomal RNA". It matches the Rfam family "Bacterial small subunit ribosomal RNA", at positions 28 to 507 of the family's 1533-position model. The record is from RNAcentral.